RNAcentral lists this small nuclear RNA (70 nucleotides) under Chinchilla lanigera (long-tailed chinchilla). The record is from RNAcentral. Lineage: Eukaryota; Metazoa; Chordata; Mammalia; Rodentia; Chinchillidae.
AUGCUCUUUUUGGCAGCAUGUAUACCAAAAUUGGAAAGAUACAUAGAAGAUUAGCAUGGCUCCUACGCAA